This 1288-nucleotide long non-coding RNA is filed under the name Monodelphis domestica (gray short-tailed opossum). Its description in RNAcentral is "lncRNA (ENSMODG00000048122.1)". Lineage: Eukaryota; Metazoa; Chordata; Mammalia; Didelphimorphia; Didelphidae. The record is from RNAcentral.
AUUUCAUUCUUAAAUUUGUCCUAAUCAUUCUUGGAAUUUUUAUCCUUCUUAAGAUAAUUAUAAACUUUUGUACUACUCAGUUUUCUAAAUAAUAACCUGCUUCUAAGCAUAUGGUAUAGAUUUUUCUUUGUAUGUAUCUUUUAAGCAUGAACUCUUCCAAGAUACUUCAAAUAUUUUGCAUCUAUAUUCAAUUUCCUGUUGCCUUGUUCUCUUCAGGUAUACCACUACAUGCUAUUCCUUUUGUCAUCUGCAUGGAUAGUUUACUAUUGUGCAAUUGGAAAUCUUGUGCCUUUGAACUACAUUUCCCAGGAGCCCUCUGACUUCCUGUUGUUACCUGCUGAUGUAAACAGAAGAUAAAUUGGGGGGAGUUUCAUGUCUAAGCCUCUUUCCUUCUGUACUAGGAGGGGGUCAGGAACUAAAGUUUGAAAGGUCUAAAAGAGAGAGGGGACAGAUAAAAAGAAGCACUACUUCUUCUCUUAGGUAAAGCUACACAAGGGAAGGUGAGAGAUUUGAUCAAGGUCCAGCUGAGAAGUAAAGAGGAAAUCCCCAUUCAGUCUCUGGUUUCUGGUUUCUUCCCUUGAUAGAUAUUAUCCUAAUCCCCUUAGGGACAUUAGGUGACUAAGAUGUUCAGUUUCUUCUGGAUUAAUAAGAUCUAUUUAUUAUUUGUAGUAUUUAGGAAUGGUAGUGUUUAGGGUAGAGCGAAAAUUAGGAAUCCCUAAUUACUAUUUUAACCUAAAUUCCUCUCACGGGUUGAGGGCUCAGGUCUGGGAACCUGAGUCCCUGGUGAGAUUGUGGUGUCAGGCUGUUGGGUUUUCCUGAUAUAAAGUGGAGUACAGCUGUAUAAGAGGGCAAUUGCAAAUCUUCUUGGGUGGGUAGUCUCUUCUCUUCCCCAAAAGGGAAGUCUCUCUUCACUACUGACUGGAUGGCUAAAUCUGAUUUUCUUCAGAUAUAUGUGGGAUCACCACAGUUUGAGUUCAGUAAGAUGAUCCUCUCUUUUCAAGUUCAAAAAAGAGAAGAACCUCCUCUCCAACUGCUGAUCUGCUUUUCUUGGCUAGAGAUUCUAUCCCAUCCCCCAUUGAGAGAAAAAUUCCAUCCUCUUUUUGCACAAUGUUAUUUCAAUAAAUCUGUGAAACACAGUCUGCAAUCCUCUCACCCACACAUCCUGGAUCUGAACAUUGGUGGAGCAGGCUAUUUGAGCAGGGUGCUACAAGGCAAUUUUGGAGAUGGGAAUAUCUUCAAUAUAAAUUUCAAAGGUGUCUUCUUUAAUAGAGUGAAUGGCCAUGACUAG